RNAcentral lists this ribosomal RNA (440 nucleotides) under uncultured bacterium. RNAcentral's name for it is "partial 16S ribosomal RNA". It matches the Rfam family "Bacterial small subunit ribosomal RNA", at positions 338 to 795 of the family's 1533-position model. The record is from RNAcentral.
CCUACGGGUGGCAGCAGUGGGGGAUAUUGCACAAUGGGGGAAACCCUGAUGCAGCGACGCCGCGUGUGGGAAGACGGUCCUCUGGAUUGUAAACCACUGUCCCCAGGGACGAAGAUGACGGUACCCGAAGAAAAAGCAUCGGCUAACUCCGUGCCAGCAGCCGCGGUAAUACGGAGGAUGCGAGCGUUAUCCGGAUUUAUUGGGUUUAAAGGGUGCGCAGGCGGAGGUGCAAGUCAGCGGUCAAAUUGCGGGGCUCAACCCCGUACUGCCGUUGAAACUGCAUCCCUUGAGUGCGCGAGAAGUAUGCGGAAGGCGUGGUGUAGCGGUGAAAGGCAAAGAUACCACGCAGAACUCCGAUUGCGAAGGCAGCAGACCGGCGCGCAACUGACGCUCAUGCACGAAAGCGUGGGUAUCGAACAGGAUUAGAUACCCCAGAAGUC